RNAcentral lists this ribosomal RNA (580 nucleotides) under uncultured Dechloromonas sp. RNAcentral's name for it is "bacterial SSU rRNA". It matches the Rfam family "Bacterial small subunit ribosomal RNA", at positions 73 to 649 of the family's 1533-position model. The record is from RNAcentral. Lineage: Bacteria; Pseudomonadati; Pseudomonadota; Betaproteobacteria; Rhodocyclales; Azonexaceae.
GGGGACUUCGGUCCGCCGGCGAGUGGCGAACGGGUGAGUAAAGUAUCGGAACGUACCUUUCAGUGGGGGAUAACGUAGCGAAAGUUACGCUAAUACCGCAUAUUCUGUGGACAGGAAAGCAGGGGAUCGCAAGACCUUGCGCUGAUUGAGCGGCCGAUAUCAGAUUAGCUAGUUGGUGGGGUAAAGGCCUACCAAGGCGACGAUCUGUAGCGGGUCUGAGAGGAUGAUCCGCCACACUGGAACUGAGACACGGUCCAGACUCCUACGGGAGGCAGCAGUGGGGAAUUUUGGACAAUGGGGGCAACCCUGAUCCAGCCAUGCCGCGUGAGUGAAGAAGGCCUUCGGGUUGUAAAGCUCUUUCGGCCGGGAAGAAAUCGCACAGGCUAAUACCCUGUGUGGAUGACGGUACCGGAAUAAGAAGCACCGGCUAACUACGUGCCAGCAGCCGCGGUAAUACGUAGGGUGCGAGCGUUAAUCGGAAUUACUGGGCGUAAAGCGUGCGCAGGCGGUUUCGUAAGACAGAGGUGAAAUCCCCGGGCUCAACCUGGGAACUGCCUUUGUGACUGCGAGGCUAGAGUAC